AUAACGAUCAUACUCAGUAAUCAGACUGCUGGCAUUCCGGAGAAUGUUGACAUCACUCUUAAGGAAGGCCUAGUUAUUUUGAAGGGGCCCUGAGAAACUCUGUUGAGGGACUUUAAUUAUGUGAAUAUAGAACUCGGUCUCUUUGGUGGAUGGGGGGAAGAAAGGUAGAGGCUCCAGCUUGACAAAUGGCAGGGAAAUAGAAAGAAACUGGCUACAGUGCACACUAUCUGUGGCCAUCCACAGAGCUUGAUCAACGUGUUACAGUGAGCUUCCAUUACAAGAAGAGAUCUGUGCAUGCUUACUUUCCCAUCAAUGUCAUUUUUCAGGAGAAUGGGUCUCUUGUUGAAAUUCAAAAUUUCUUAGUGAAAAAUGCAUCCACAAGGUUCAGGUGAGGCUGGGUGUUGCUUGUUUAAUAUCUCAAACCCAGAAAAAUGAGUUAAUUCUGGAAGAAAAUGACAUUGAACUUAUAUCAAAGUCUGUUGCUUUGAUUCAGCAAGCCACAACAGUUAAAAACAGAAAUCAGGAAAAUUGUGGAUGGUAUCUACAUCUUUGAAAAAGGAACAGUUUAGCCCCCUGAGAAGUA
This 583-nucleotide long non-coding RNA is filed under the name Homo sapiens (human). Its description in RNAcentral is "non-protein coding lnc-NXPH1-3:1". Lineage: Eukaryota; Metazoa; Chordata; Mammalia; Primates; Hominidae. The record is from RNAcentral.